AUUCCAGCUCCAAUAGCGUAUAUUAAAGUUGUUGCAGUUAAAAAGCUCGUAGUUGGAUUUCUGGCAGGGCGUCGAUGUCCGCUUGUUGCGAGUGCAGAGAUGCCCUACCAUCCUUCUGUUAACUGGCAGCGGCCUUCACUGGCCGGGUCAGGGCUCAGAUAUUUUACCUUGAGAAAAUUAGAGUGUUUCAGGCAGGCUUGCGCCGGAAUACAUUAGCAUGGAAUAAUAGAAUAGGACUUUGGCCUCUUCUGUUGGUCUGAGGGGUUAGAGUAAUGAUUAAUAGGGAUAGUUGGGGGCAUUAGUACUUAACUGUCAGAGGUGAAAUUCUCGGAUUUGUUAAAGACUAACUUAUGCGAAAGCAUUUGCCAAGGAUGUUUUCAUCA
RNAcentral lists this ribosomal RNA (383 nucleotides) under Strombidinopsidae sp. RNAcentral's name for it is "partial small subunit ribosomal RNA". It matches the Rfam family "Eukaryotic small subunit ribosomal RNA", at positions 582 to 975 of the family's 1831-position model. The record is from RNAcentral. Lineage: Eukaryota; Ciliophora; Spirotrichea; Choreotrichida; Strombidinopsidae.